AAAUUGAAGAGUUUGAUCAUGGCUCAGAUUGAACGCUGGCGGCAGGCCUAACACAUGCAAGUCGAACGGUAACAGGAAGCAGCUUGCUGCUUUACUGACGAGUGGCGGACGGGUGAGUAAUGUCUGGGAAACUGCCUGAUGGAGGGGGAUAACUACUGGAAACGGUGGCUAAUACCGCAUAACGUCGCAAGACCAAAGAGGGGGACCUUCGGGCCUCUUGCCAUCAGAUGUGCCCAGAUGGGAUUAGCUUGUUGGUGAGGUAACGGCUCACCAAGGCGACGAUCCCUAGCUGGUCUGAGAGGAUGACCAGCCACACUGGAACUGAGACACGGUCCAGACUCCUACGGGAGGCAGCAGUGGGGAAUAUUGCACAAUGGGCGCAAGCCUGAUGCAGCCAUGCCGCGUGUAUGAAGAAGGCCUUCGGGUUGUAAAGUACUUUCAGCGGGGAGGAAGGUGUUGUGGUUAAUAAC
RNAcentral lists this ribosomal RNA (470 nucleotides) under Salmonella enterica subsp. enterica serovar Kentucky. RNAcentral describes it as "bacterial SSU rRNA". It matches the Rfam family "Bacterial small subunit ribosomal RNA", at positions 1 to 467 of the family's 1533-position model. Lineage: Bacteria; Pseudomonadati; Pseudomonadota; Gammaproteobacteria; Enterobacterales; Enterobacteriaceae. The record is from RNAcentral.